GACGAACGCCGGCGGCGUGCUUAACACAUGCAAGUCGAGCGGUAAGGCCCUUCGGGGUACGACGAGCGGCGAACGGGUGAGUAACACGUGGGUGACCUGCCCUUAGCUCUGGGAUAAGCCUGGGAAACUGGGUCUAAUACCGGAUAUGACCUCAUGACGCAUGUUGUGGGGUGGAAAGCCUUGUGCGGCUAGGGAUGGGCCCGCGGCCUAUCAGCUUGUUGGUGGGGUGAUGGCCUACCAAGGCGACGACGGGUAGCCGGCCUGAGAGGGCGACCGGCCGCACUGGGACUGAGACACGGCCCAGACUCCUACGGGAGGCAGCAGUGGGGAAUAUUGCGCAAUGGGCGGAAGCCUGACGCAGCGACGCCGCGUGAGGGAUGACGGCC
RNAcentral lists this ribosomal RNA (386 nucleotides) under uncultured bacterium. Its description in RNAcentral is "bacterial SSU rRNA". It matches the Rfam family "Bacterial small subunit ribosomal RNA", at positions 28 to 416 of the family's 1533-position model. The record is from RNAcentral.